AUUGAAUGCCAUCUUUAUACAUGUAAUAGUUUUUGGUUACACUGUAAUCUAUCUUUAUACAUGUAAUAGUUUUUGGUUACACUGUAAUCUAUCUUUAUGCAUGUAAUAGUUUUUGGUUACAUUGUAAUCUAUCUUUAUACAUGUAAUAGUUUUUGGUUACAUUGUAAUCUAUGUUUAUACAUGUACAUGUAAUAAUUUUUGGUUACACUGUAAUCUAUGUUUAUACAUGUAAUAGUUUUUGGCUUUAUUGAAGACAAUUGUUUUUAUACUUAAUUGGCUCCAUGUAAGGAAAUGGGAUCUUCAAACCUAUUUAAUAAAUUCAGAAUUGUUCAAGCCUUUAAAUGAGGUAGUACUUAUGAAUUAGUAGACAUAUCUGAAAAGAAACAGUAGAAAGAAUAAUACAUGUCUUACUAUUAUUACUGGUAUUGUAGUUUUAAUGUUGUAAACAAAUACAUGUGUGUUGUAAUUUCAUGUUUUAUGCUUUUAUUUAUUUAUUUGUUUGUUUGAUUUACCCACCAAAUAAUUUCUUGUUCAUCUAAGAUUAUUUACUUUAAGGUUUCUGACCAAGAAUUUACUCUGCAAUUUACCCAUCUAAGAUUAUUAUCUUUAAGGUUUCUGACCAAGGAUUAUACUCUGCAAUUAUUAACCAACCUAAGAUUAUUAUCUUUAAGGUUUAUGACCAAGGAUUGUACUCUGAUUUACCCACCUAAGAUUAAUAUAUUAAAUGUACAUGACCAAGAAUUUUACUUGGCAAUUUACCCAUCUAAGAUUAUUAUAUUUAAUGGACAUGACCAAGAAUUUUUUUUGUAAACUUACCCACCAAAUAUUAUUACCGGUAUCUAUGACGUAUAUGACCAAGAAUUUGUGUGAUUAAUUGUACUCUGCCAACUUACCUGCCUAAGAUUACUUACCUUAAUAUACUUUAGUUAACUUACCCAUGGUUCACUUUUAUUUAUUUGACCAAGAAUUUUACUUUGUAAUUAACCCACCUAAGAUUAUUUGCAUGAAUGUAUUGUCUAGGAUUUGUACUCUGUUAUCUUACCCACCUAAGAGAUAUUAACUUAAAUAUAUAUAACCAAGAGUUUAUGUGAUUUAAUUGUACUCUGUCACAAGACGACUGACUAUCAAUGCUACUGAUAUCAAAGUACUCUGUCACAAGACGACUGACUAUCAAUGCUACUGAUAUCAAAGCACUUCAAACAAUCCUCAGUAAAGAGUUUAUGUUCUUUUAUUUAUAUGCUAAGGUAGAGUUGAUUUUUUAUCUCGACCGCCUUUUAAUCAUUUGAUACAAUGCAUUUUUAGAUUUAGUAGCUGGUGCUUUAAAUGACUGAAAAAAACCUUGGACAGAAGAACUUUUAAUUUCAAAGAAAGACCAUUCUGUAUUAAAAAAAACUAUGUAAAAAGUAUUUAUAAACUUCUUCAAUAUUAGAAUAGAUACUUUCAAUCAAUGACGCAGAUAAAGUUCAUUUAAAUAAAAAUGUUGUUUAUAUGAAAAGAUAAUCAUUAUGUAAUUAAAUAUUAGUCAACACUAGACCAGUCAAUUCAAAGCCUAAUACCAUUUCUUUCACCAAUCAUGCAUAAUAAUUCAUCUCCAUAAACUUUUUGCAUUUAAUGACCAUUGGCCUGUUUUGAAAUACACCUUUGAUAGUUUACACUUGACUUUUACAUUCAAAGUACAUGACAAGAAGUUGUUGGAAUAAUAUCUUGUUUACCAAUAGAAUGAAUAUCUUUGUAAGGUCAAGUUAAUUAAAAAAAAAAAAUCCAACAUGUUUAUAGUCACUUUAAAUUCUUCCAAAUUGAUGUUACAUUGUUGCUGACUAUUUUACUUCUGUAAGGCCAAUUUAUUUUAAUCCAUUUUUUUUCUGUAGAAUGUUUUUUAAUUUUUUAAAAAAUGUUAAAAUUUAUCCGACCUUUUAGGCUUUAUGAACAGUUUCAAUACUUUAAUAAAUGUACUUAGCUAUGAAGUAAGUUCAUGAUGCCAGUUAUAGAUACUUUUCUCCUAAUAGAGACUAUUGUGAAAUUAAAAAAGAAUUGAUAUUACUUGAAUUCUGAAAUGUAAAGGUCAGUUUUAAUGUCAAAGGUCAAACUCCAUCGAAAGAAAUUUCUUCAAAAUCAAUUGAUGUAGCCUGGUACAUUCCGUAGAGUCACAGUACCAAAAUAUCAUUUGUAUUAUUUUGUAAAACUUUUCUUUCUAAAGUCUUGUAUGUUAUGUGGUUUUAGGUUUUAUUUUUGUCAGAUAUAUUUUUUAAUUGGAUGAGAAUUAUUCCAAUUAGUUGUUACAUGUAUUAUAGAAAUAAAUUCUACAGAAG
Molecule: long non-coding RNA, 2309 nt
Filed under: Mytilus galloprovincialis (Mediterranean mussel)
Lineage: Eukaryota; Metazoa; Mollusca; Bivalvia; Mytilida; Mytilidae
Source: RNAcentral